Molecule: ribosomal RNA, 466 nt
Filed under: uncultured bacterium
Lineage: Bacteria
Description: partial 16S ribosomal RNA
Rfam family: Bacterial small subunit ribosomal RNA
Source: RNAcentral
CGAACGCUGGCGGCGUGCUUAACACAUGCUAGUCGAACGGAAAGGCCCUGCUUUUGUGGGGUGCUCGAGUGGCGAACGGGUGAGUAACACGUGAGUAACCUGCCCUUGACUUUGGGAUAACUUCAGGAAACUGGGGCUAAUACCGGAUAGGAGCUCCUGCUGCAUGGUGGGGGUUGGAAAGUUUCGGCGGUUGGGGAUGGACUCGCGGCUUAUCAGCUUGUUGGUGGGGUAGUGGCUUACCAAGGCUUUGACGGGUAGCCGGCCUGAGAGGGUGACCGGCCACAUUGGGACUGAGAUACGGCCCAGACUCCUACGGGAGGCAGCAGUGGGGAAUAUUGCACAAUGGGCGGAAGCCUGAUGCAGCAACGCCGCGUGCGGGAUGACGGCCUUCGGGUUGUAAACCGCUUUCGCCUGUGACGAAGCGUGAGUGACGGUAAUGGGUAAAGAAGCACCGGCUAACUACGUG